ACACUGACGUCGCGACGCAUAUCAAUAAGCGGAGGAAAAGAAACUAACAAGGAUUCCCCUAGUAACGGCGAGUGAAGCGGGAAGGGCUCAAAUUUGAAAUCUUAAAGGGUUUCCCUUUACGAAUUGUAGUUUAAAGAAGUGUUUUCUGUUGGAGUUUCGGUAAAAGUUCUUUGGAAUAGGACAUCAUAGAGGGUGAGAAUCCCGUAUUUGACCGUUACUUUCCAGCUGUGUGAUACACUUUCAAAGAGUCGGAUUGUUUGGGAAUGCAGUCCAAAAUGGGUGGUAAAUUUCAUCUAAAGCUAAAUAUUGGCGAGAGACCGAUAGCGAACAAGUACCGUGAGGGAAAGAUGAAAAGAACUUUGAAAAGAGAGUUAAACAGUACGUGAAAUUGUCAAAAGGGAAGCGUUUGACACCAGUGUCGUUUUUCUGAAAAUCAAUUAAAGAACUGUUUAUGCUAAGUUGUUUAGACUUUAUCAGCUAACUGUUUAGUUUUGAGCUUUUCUUUAAUGCACUUUUCAGUUAACAAGUCAACAUCAAUUUCUUUUGCUGUAAAAAAGCUUGAGGAAGGUGGCUUGAGGUUCGUCUUAAGUGUUUAUAGCCUCUUGCCUAUGCAGUCGGAGAGAUUGAGGUCUGCAGCGUAGAUCCUUCGGGGCUAAAUGCAUUUGUGCUAAGUUAUAGCAUUUUAUAGACAACUUGUUGACUAUGAUUUGUCUUGUAGCUUACUCGCUUAUGUUAUUUUACCUACGCUUAGGAUGUUGAUGUGAUACUGCGAGCA
Molecule: ribosomal RNA, 775 nt
Filed under: uncultured Neocallimastigales
Lineage: Eukaryota; Fungi; Neocallimastigomycota; Neocallimastigomycetes; Neocallimastigales
Description: partial large subunit ribosomal RNA
Rfam family: Eukaryotic large subunit ribosomal RNA
Source: RNAcentral